UAGGGAAUCUUCCGCAAUGGACGCAAGUCUGACGGAGCAACGCCGCGUGAGUGAAGAAGGAUUUCGGUUCGUAAAACUCUGUUGUUAGAGAAGAACAGCGCAUAGAGUAACUGUUAUGCGUGUGACGGUAUCUAACCAGAAAGCCACGGCUAACUACGUGCCAGCAGCCGCGGUAAUACGUAGGUGGCAAGCGUUGUCCGGAUUUAUUGGGCGUAAAGCGAGCGCAGGCGGUCAAUUAAGUCUGAUGUGAAAGCCCCCGGCUCAACCGGGGAGGGUCAUUGGAAACUGGUUGACUUGAGUGCAGGAGAGGAGAGUGGAAUUCCAUGUGUAGCGGUGAAAUGCGUAGAUAUAUGGAGGAACACCGGUGGCGAAAGCGGCUCUCUGGUCUGUAACUGACGCUGAGGCUCGAAAGCGUGGGGAGCGAACAGG
RNAcentral lists this ribosomal RNA (429 nucleotides) under Bacteroidota bacterium. RNAcentral describes it as "Bacteroidetes bacterium partial 16S ribosomal RNA". It matches the Rfam family "Bacterial small subunit ribosomal RNA", at positions 355 to 776 of the family's 1533-position model. Lineage: Bacteria; Pseudomonadati; Bacteroidota. The record is from RNAcentral.